Helianthus annuus (common sunflower) is the source of this 773-nucleotide long non-coding RNA. RefSeq lists it as uncharacterized. NCBI's taxonomy places the organism in Eukaryota, Viridiplantae, Streptophyta, Magnoliopsida, Asterales, Asteraceae. The record is from RefSeq and is a predicted model, not a curated record. The transcript is spliced from 3 exons.
UCUCCACUAUAUAAUUCAAACUAUUUUCAUUCAUCUGUAUAUUCAAUAGGAGUAAUAGAUUGAAACAUCAUACAAUGGCGAGGCUCAUGAAAUCACAUGUGAGGAUCUUCUGUAUAAGCUUUCUAUUGGUGUUUGUGUGUUAUUGGUGUGAAAAAAAUGAACACCAGCACACGCAAGCAUUUGGAGUUCCACCGCCACCGAAAGACUGUACUCCACGUUGUUUUCAAUCACAAGAUUUAAACUCAUGGUAUUGUUGCAAUGAAUCCUAUGGUAGUAAAGAGAUGUGCGAGAGAGACUGUAAGAAAAAGAAAAGUUGUUGUUAGGGUCUAGACCCAAAGUCCACAGGAGAUCUGUUUCUUCAAGCAGUAUGCAUAGGCGAAAAGAUCAUAAAUGACGAGGAAUGCUUUAUACUAAAGCUUGACACGAGCCAAUCUGAUCUAGAGGCACAAGCCACUCCAAAAUACGAGAUCAUCCAUCACAGAAUUUGGGGUUACUUUAGCCAACGAUCGGGUCUUUUAGUCAAGUUUGAGGACUCAAGAUUGCUAUCUGUAAAUGGCGAAAACGGGGAUGGCAUCCUUUGGGAAACCAGUACAGAAUCGGUAAUGGAGUAUUACAGAUACGUUGAGGGUGUAAAUAUCGCACAUAGUGGGAAAACUUCGGUUACCAUCUUUAGAUAUGGAGAACAUUCAUCGAAUCAUAAGAGGGAGCUUGAAGAGAAAUGGAGGAUUGAAGAAGUUCACUUUAAUGUUUGUGGAUUGAAUAAGAUUUCUUUA